This 468-nucleotide ribosomal RNA is filed under the name uncultured bacterium. RNAcentral's name for it is "partial 16S ribosomal RNA". It matches the Rfam family "Bacterial small subunit ribosomal RNA", at positions 28 to 507 of the family's 1533-position model. The record is from RNAcentral.
GACGAACGCUGGCGGCGUGCUUAACACAUGCAAGUCGAACGGAAAGACCCUGCUUUUGUGGGGUGCUCGAGUGGCGAACGGGUGAGUAACACGUGAGUAACCUGCCCUUGACUUUGGGAUAACUUCAGGAAACUGGGGCUAAUACCGGAUAGGAGCUCCUGCUGCAUGGUGGGGGUUGGAAAGUUUCGGCGGUUGGGGAUGGACUCGCGGCUUAUCAGCUUGUUGGUGGGGUAGUGGCUUACCAAGGCUUUGACGGGUAGCCGGCCUGAGAGGGUGACCGGCCACAUUGGGACUGAUAUACGGCCCAGACUCCUACGGGAGGCAGCAGUGGGGAAUAUUGCACAAUGGGCGGAAGCCUGAUGCAGCAACGCCGCGUGCGGGAUGACGGCCUUCGGGUUGUAAACCGCUUUCGCCUGUGACGAAGCGUGAGUGACGGUAAUGGGUAAAGAAGCACCGGCUAACUACGUG